AUCAUAGCGGAGGAGACCUGCGGAAGGAUCAUUACAGAACGAAAUGGGUGGCACUAGGCUGUCGCUGGCUCAAACGAGCAUGUGCACGUCUUUUGCUGCUUGCUUUCAUUCUCUUUUCCACCUGUGCACUCUUUGUAAACACUUGGGAGAGGGGGGUAUGGCUUUGUUCCUGCCGUACCCCCAUCCUACAUUGCGUAGGCUGNGCUACUCAUACCAUGACGAAUACAGNUCCUGGGUGUUUAUGUAUUUUUUUGACAUACACGCUUUGAAUGUCUAUAGAAUGAAAUUGUAUAUAAAAUGAAAUACAACUUUCAACAACGGAUCUCUUGGCUCUCGCAUCGAUGAAGAACGCAGCGAAAUGCGAUAAGUAAUGUGAAUUGCAGAAUUCAGUGAAUCAUCGAAUCUUUGAACGCAUCUUGCGCUCCUUGGUAUUCCGAGGAGCACGCCCGUUUGAGUGUCAUUAAAUAUCUCAAAAAAGCUUUUGUGCCYUUUUGGCACGGGAUUUUUUUUUGGACAUUGGGAGUUGCUGGCUACUUGAUUAAAAGUGGUGGGCUCUUCUGAAAAGCAUUAGUUGGAGGAGCUUUGCACUCUUAUUGGUGUGAUAAACUAUCUAUGCCAUGAGAUGCUUUAUGAUCCUCUGCUGUCUAACUGUCUUUAUCAAGACAAUAUGAUAAACUUGACCUCAAAUCAGGUAGGACUACCCGCUGAACUUAAGCAUAUCAAUAAGCGGAGGAAAAGAAACUAACAAGGAUUCCCUUAGUAACUGCGAGUGAAGAGGGAAAAGCUCAAAUUUAAAAUCUGGCAGUGCUUCACUGUCCGAGUUGA
RNAcentral lists this ribosomal RNA (825 nucleotides) under uncultured Amanita. RNAcentral describes it as "eukaryotic LSU rRNA". The stretch from base 307 to 460 matches the Rfam family "5.8S ribosomal RNA". The record is from RNAcentral. Lineage: Eukaryota; Fungi; Basidiomycota; Agaricomycetes; Agaricales; Amanitaceae.